RNAcentral lists this ribosomal RNA (254 nucleotides) under uncultured bacterium. RNAcentral describes it as "partial 16S ribosomal RNA". It matches the Rfam family "Bacterial small subunit ribosomal RNA", at positions 524 to 776 of the family's 1533-position model. The record is from RNAcentral.
UACGGAGGGUGCGAGCGUUGUCCGGAAUCAUUGGGCGUAAAGGGCGCGUAGGUGGCCCGGUCAGUUCGUGGUGAAAGCGCGGGGCUCAACCCUGCGUCGGCCAUGAAUACUGCCGCGGCUGGAGCACUGUAGAGGCAGGCGGAAUUCCGGGUGUAGUGGUGGAAUGCGUAGAGAUCCGGAGGAACACCAGCGGCGAAGGCGGCAUCCUGGACUGGUCCUGACACUCAGGAGCGAAAGCGUGGGGAGCGAUCCGG